AACGAACGCUGGCGGCGCGCCUAAUACAUGCAAGUCGAGCGAGAAGGUGUAGCAAUACACUUGUAAAGCGGCGAACGGGUGAGGAAUACAUGGGUAAUCUACCAUCGAGUGGGGAAUAACCAACCGAAAGGUUGGCUAAUACCGCGUACGCCUCCGAGUCUUCGGGUUCGGAGGGAAAGCUGCACUGUGAGUGUAGCGCUCUUUGAUGAGCUCAUGUCCUAUCAGCUUGUUGGUAGGGUAACGGCCUACCAAGGCUUUGACGGGUAGCUGGUCCGAGAGGACGAUCAGCCACACUGGCACUGCGACACGGGCCAGACUCCUACGGGAGGCAGCAGUAAGGAAUAUUGCGCAAUGGGCGAAAGCCUGACGCAGCGACGCCGCGUGGGGGAUGAAGGUCUUCGGAUUGUAAACCCCUUUCGGGAGGGAAGAUGGAGCGAGCAAUCGUUCGGACGGUACCUCCAGAAGCAGCCACGGCCAACUCGUGCCAGCAGCCGC
RNAcentral lists this ribosomal RNA (495 nucleotides) under uncultured bacterium. RNAcentral describes it as "bacterial SSU rRNA". It matches the Rfam family "Bacterial small subunit ribosomal RNA", at positions 29 to 518 of the family's 1533-position model. The record is from RNAcentral.